This 22-nucleotide non-coding RNA is filed under the name Arabidopsis thaliana (thale cress). The record is from RNAcentral. Lineage: Eukaryota; Viridiplantae; Streptophyta; Magnoliopsida; Brassicales; Brassicaceae.
UAAAUAUGGUGUACAUGAUAUG